Long non-coding RNA from Mya arenaria, 1802 nucleotides. RefSeq lists it as uncharacterized. The transcript has 11 exons. Lineage: Eukaryota; Metazoa; Mollusca; Bivalvia; Myida; Myidae. The record is from RefSeq and is a predicted model, not a curated record.
UUGGAGGUUAUUUCAAAUGUAUUAUGAAACCUAUAUUUUGAGAAGUUGUGAGGAAUUUAUUUUUGCAAGCUGGCAUAUUGAUGAAUAACAAAUGGAUUUGCUGGUUUAUUAAUAGUGUCCCGACUACUGACAACAUCGACCAACAAUCUACGAAUGAUGGGGAGUGAACGUGUCGUUGAUGAAAACAAAGGCUGAUACGUGCAACCGCCAAUUCCUGAAUCUCUGAACGUUAGAUCACACGAGACAUGAUUGGUAGGAUGUUGUUCUCAGUCGUCCGGACGGCAACAACCAGAAAAACAAAUGUCCCAAAAUGAUGGUUGGGUUAGUCGAAUGAAGUUUAUCGGAAUUCGACAAGCCCAGAAUCUGGUUUGGCUGCAUGACAGUUGGGCUGCUGUUAAACUGAUGAGCUACAGUAAUUGUAAAGCAGGCAAAUACGAGCAAAUGUCCAAGGCAGAGGUCAUAAACAGGAGGUCCUGACAGGAUGUGUUCGAAGGUUAUCCGAUUUUCCAAUACGAGCAGACGUCCCACACUGAAUCCCUGACUGUGGUUUUAUGACCAAGAGACGCUUGGGCAAUAGGAUAUCUUCAUAUAGAUGGGCCAAUACUAGCACUCGUCUCACACUCAAUCUCUGUACCUUAAAUGACCUGAGGCACAUUCUUGAAGGAUGUUAUCCUGAGUGAUUGUCCGGCAGUUACCUGAAUGGAAGGUAGAUUACUAGAUAGGAUGAUAGGAGCAACCGUCAACCACCGCCAUUUUCUGGUAGGAUGAGGGCAAAAACAACAACAGGAAGAUAUCUAGAUGGAAAACGAUUACUGAUCUGAAGGUCACAAGGGGCGCUUUCUGGCGACGUGUCGUCUUGAGUUGUCCGGCAUAAACCUUAAGCAAAGAUGGAGCUGUAUGCCGAUGAACUAUAUAGGAAUGCGACACGCAUAUAAUCUGUUUUGGCUGUAUCACAGUUGUCUCCCUUGGGCUGUUGUUUAACUUAUGAUUUAUAUGUUGAGACAAAAAAGACCGAUGAGGUGGUAUGCUGUAGACACUUGAAACGUUAUCAGCCUUCCUUUCUUCAAAACAACAUUGCAGUAAUCUCCCUUUGACUGCUGGAACCCAAAAGGUUUGCAGAUUGAGGGCAAAUAGUAAGAGAUAUAUGAGCAGACUUCCCACAGAAUAUCCUUGAUAUGGACGUCAUGUGGAGCUCUUCCUGGCAGGAUAUAGUCAUUGGUUGUCCAUCAAAAACCAGAAACACACAUAGAAAGAUAGAUACAUGUAAUGUGUUUUGGUUUGUUUACAUGUUUGUCGAGUCAGAACUUAUAUGAAUAUGUUACAUCUACCAAUGGAUAAAUAGCUGAUUUCUCAAGGAAACAUUACAUGCAAAUGACAAAGUGUGUUUGUGGUUCACUUAUGACGCUCUUGUCUCAAUUGAGUAAACAGCGAUACAAGUUUAACUUUUUGUUGUAAAUGCUGUUGUUUUUUGUAUAGACAUUUUUUUAUAAUUGUCUUUACAACUGCAAUGGUGUAAUGUUUACGCGAAUGGUGAUUAUGAAAUCUCAUGUAAGCCACCAUUCAUGACAGAAGAUAGAAUUGAGAGCAGAAAGUCGAAAUAACCAUAUGUGUUUGUAAUAACCACUUGCAGUUAUUUGCCUUUAUCCCUAAAUCAUUUUGGUAUUUGUUUUACCAUGAGUUAAUAUGGAAUAAUUUUGAAAUAUAUAUCACUAUUUUAUUUUAGCAAAAAAAAUGUGAAUUCCUUUUUUUUUUUUUUUGCUUACUGUUCAAGUGUUUUUAGCUUAUUAAAUUUAAUUUCUUUG